Molecule: unclassified non-coding RNA, 866 nt
Filed under: Hevea brasiliensis (rubber tree)
Lineage: Eukaryota; Viridiplantae; Streptophyta; Magnoliopsida; Malpighiales; Euphorbiaceae
Source: RNAcentral
CAGCUAUAAUUGUGUCGAUCUGUUGCGAAUUACAACUUUCACAGCACAUUAUCCGUCACAGAUAUAAGAGUUCCUCGAUCUAAAAUCACUUGCAUUGCACAGUACCAUUACCAUACAUAUAACUGGAUUUUCUUUAUCUCGCCUCUUUUAAACAGCACAAAACAAUGGGCACACGCGUCCAGUUCUGGCAAAAACAUAGAAUGGACAGAUUGUGGAAACGUUCCGCAUAAGUCCCUUAUUAACCACUAGAGUAACUAAAUAAGGGGCAUACAAGACAAACUUGAAUUCAGGGCUCCAUUCAUUUUUAAAAGCUAUUGUCGCAAAAUUUCAGGACUUUCUCACACCUUAAAACUUGCCGUUCAGGUAUAUCAUAACUCUCUCUGCCCAUCCUUAUCAGCAGUCAUCUAGUCAGAAUUGACAACAUUUACCUCAUCCGUCAUUGAUUUUGUCCUCUCAUCUUCAUCACCGUCUCCUUGUUUGGUUACAACACCAUCUGGUUUUGUUGCUUCCAUGACAAUUUCUUGGUCCUCAGCAACUGCACCAUCCUUUAUAAACUCAGCGCUAAUUGCUACAUCACUAGCAUUCCCAAUAACAGAUUCAUCAUUCAACUUAUUUCCAUCCACAACCACCACAUCAGGAAUAUUAUCUCCUUGGUUAAUCAAGUUGUGUGCAGGAACUCCAUCUUUGUUAUUUUCAUCAGCCUUGGGGACAUGAGUAGUAUGCACCCCCUCCACAACAGAAUGUACAUCAGUAGAUAAACUUGCAUCUGUGUCCAUAGGUGCAUGCUUGUUAUCUGAAUCAUCAUUUGUACUAUGUUUCGGACUGGCAUGAACAUGGUCUCGAGCAGCAUUUGUUUGCUUCCCUGA